This 458-nucleotide ribosomal RNA is filed under the name uncultured bacterium. RNAcentral describes it as "bacterial SSU rRNA". It matches the Rfam family "Bacterial small subunit ribosomal RNA", at positions 28 to 507 of the family's 1533-position model. The record is from RNAcentral.
GAUGAACGCUAGCUACAGGCUUAACACAUGCAAGUCGAGGGGCAGCAGGGAUUUAGCUUGCUAAAUUCGCUGGCGACCGGCGCACGGGUGCGUAACGCGUAUCCAACUUUCCCGUUACUCUCGGAUAGCCUUCCGAAAGGGAGAUUCAAUGAUGAAAGAUUCAUCGGUUAUGGAUGGGGAUGCGUAAGAUUAGGUAGUAGGCGGGGUAACGGCCCACCUAGCCGACGAUCUUUAGGGGUUCUGAGAGGAAGGUCCCCCACACUGGUACUGAGACACGGACCAGACUCCUACGGGAGGCAGCAGUGAGGAAUAUUGGUCAAUGGGCGGAAGCCUGAACCAGCCAAGUAGCGUGAAGGAUUACAGCCCUACGGGUUUUAAACUUCUUUUAUAUGAGAGUAAUGUGCACUACGUGUAGUGUAUUGCAAGUAUCAUAUGAAUAAGCAUCGGCUAACUCCGUG